GGAGAAUAUAUAUUUGCUUGUUAUGGAAACCUAUGUUGUAAGAGUUUCAUUACCUUUGCCUCUUGUUAAACCUUGGGUAUUUAUAGGUGAUGAGAGCAGUUGGAUGUGGGAAACGUGUAUGCAUCUGAUAGUGUGAGGUGUUUGCUCAUAGGCGUCAAUCAGUUGCGUCUAUAGAAUGGGCGGAUAAUUACUUCUCCCGAGUUGAGUUGACAUAAAGUUGAUACGUUACAUCAACUAGGCUCAUGGAGACGUCAAAUCAAUUAAACCUUGGGGGCAGAAAGGAUCUUGACAUAGAUUUCUUUUUGAAAUUGACGGCGGAUUCUCUGACAAAGAGCCUCGGAAUGUAGUGCGCCUCGGCUUCAGGGGCGAGGACGCUUCGGUCGGUUCAGUAGAUUGUCUGUGCCUCGCAGUGCGUUAGCAGAUUGACAACAUUGGUGGUGGCGUCACUUCGGAACCACUUCGAAUGGGUGUUAAACACCUCGUAUAACGUGAUGAUAGACUUUUCGAAGUGGUUCAGAUAGGAGCGUAACAAUAUUGAUUGGAGAGACACUUUUAAAAGAGCAUACAAAGGUAAUAAUGAACUAUGUUGCUAGUUAACCAAACAAUUUCAAAUUGCUGACAACCAUCAAUAUAUUCAUUGACAUUUGAUGAGUUUCAGAGCAACAUGGGAAAUUUUGUAAAGUUAGGUCAAUGAACAAGGACGACUUGCUAAAAAAUAUUUGGAGUGCAGAAAACUAUGGGAUCCAAUAAUGGAGGCAGUGGGGGGCGAAGCCAAGAAUGGGGUGGCAAUCUACAGAGGCGGGGAUCGUUCACACUGCCAUGUACAUUGAGUCAGAAGACAGUUGAUUAGGUUUCGAAGGAUAUAUCAAAAGAGUCUGGUGUCAGGAAGGAUGGGAGUGGUAUCGUAUAUUUUUAGGAGAAAUCGUGCUUUGGAGAAGGAUGUAGAAAGGAAUCAAAAGAAAAUGAUAAAAAACAGAGAGUCAGUUACAAGAUUAAGGGAUUGAAAGUAGGUAAAUAUCUCAAAGUUUUUGUUUAUAUUUUCAAAUUUUUUAUGGCAUGUAUGUGACUAUUUUCAUUAUCACGUGUCAAAAUAGUGGACUUAUGAAUCGUAAAUACAAUGUUUAACGGAAAAUCUAAUCAAAUGCUCGGAAAAUCCAUUCUUAGAAAUUUGCCAUCUCUCUAAUUAUGUGGAGGUAAUUGAAGAUUCCAGACACUGAAAAAAUUUGUUGUUUCCAUGAAACUUAGAAUAAAAAUUGGACACAUGCAAGACUGCUGCUUAUUGAGAAAGAUAUCAGAUAAAUCUAAUUUCAGAGAAAAAGUUAAGAAAAUAAGUAAAUCGACAGGUUAACUUUCAUCUACUUAUCCCUUUAAGGAUUUUGAUUAUCACUGACAUUAUGCUUUUAUCAUGUUGCAUAUGGCAAUCUAAUGUGUCAAACAGAUGAAUUCACGUCCUGAGAAGUUUAAAGCUUCCAUUUGCUACAAGAUAAUAUAGUAUGUGCUUUAAGAAACAAUAAUAGUUUGUUUUACUCCUGCAAUUGUUACACAAUGUUAACACGAUUCUUGUCGUAAAUUUUAAUUAAUCGGUCAAUUAUGUUAUUGUUUACAACGCAUAUUAACUUCCAUUAAACCAUUUUUUAUUUAGUGUUUUCCAGGCAUACUCUACUAUGGAGUUGAAAGCAGAAGUUGCAAAACUGAAGGAAGAAAACCAAGAAUUGCGGAAGAAACUGGGAAGCGUGAAUUUGACUAAUCUCCAUUUCCAUUUCUGUAACUUCUUAUUCUUAUUAAAUUAUAUCUGAUUUAUACCAUUUGGGUAUUCUAUUAUGUAGGCAGGAAUUAUGGAAUUGAUGAGGAAUCAGAUACCUGUCACCGUAAUCUUUCCCUUUAAAAAAAUUUAACUUACAGGUAUUUGGUGAAACCUGGCCAAUUGUUUAUUUUCUACAUUGGGUCAAGAUAGAACUCAUUGCUUUUAAUUAAUCUUCUGUAUCCCUUAUCUCACUUACGGAUUUUCAUAGAGAGCAUGUCCAGAAAAAGUAGAAGUUUACUUAAAUUAACAAAUUUUUUUUUGGAUUCGUUGCCUUUUCCUUACUUCCAAGUAAAAACUUACUUUCAAAUUAUGACCAAUUAAGGGAAUUUCUAACUAUGACCAAUUAAGUGAAUUAUAUAUUUAUUCAUUUAAUCUUAUCCAAAGAAAAAAAGAAAAAAGAAAACCCUCAUAGUAAAGGCAAAGUUCAUACUGUUCUUGCGUUCAGAGAUGGAGGUAGUGGGUGGCAGCCCAUAUUAUUUUGAGGAAAUUAGGCCCUAUGCCCUCUUUUUCUAAGUGUUCUGGUUAAUACCCUUCAAUUAAUUAAACAUUUUAAGAAAGUACUAAUUACGUCCUAAAUUCUAACCAAAAGCCAGCUCAGUUAACUACAGCAAACCCAAACCUAAACCUAACUCUCCAUAUUCCUCAUUCGUAGAAAUUGUCAGCUUGCAAAAUUCACCAAGCACCUUCCGUUGAUCUCUUCUCCGAGCAAAAAAUACGACUCUAAAUCUCCAUUUUUGACCCAUUUUUUGUUGAUUUCUCCUUUGUCUCCCCUUUUUACGUCUUCAUUUUCUCAUUUUCAUUUCGACCCCAAAAUUUUGUAAACCUUGUCCCCAAAUCGAUUUUGCCCCACAAUCGAAAGACCUCGAAGUUCGAUUGUUGUAUUCCUUAAUGCACGUUCAAUUUUCAGUCAUUUUGAUUCUCAUUUUGUGGAGAUCUUAGAUACCAAUCCUAAAAAUCCCAAAUAGUCGAAACCCUAACUCGUUCCGAUCAAAAUGUAAUCUGAGUCCAAUUUCGACUUAUUCACUCCAACGCCGACUUUGAUACGAAAAUUCGACCCUUAUUUCUGUAAUGGUUAGAGAAAGUAGGUUGAAGAGGAAAAGAGAUAUUGAUGAAGAACCAUCUUCGAAGAAGAAGAAAUCUUAUAAACCCGAGGUAGCAUUAAUUUUUUUAGCUUCCGCUCUUAUGUGUACGUUUUAUUCUUCGUUCCUUUCCCAUUUUGAUAUUUUACUGGUUUUGAUGUUUCAUAUGUGACUUUUUUAGUUUUGUUCCAUGCCUUUUGUUUUGUAUAAAAUGAAAUAUGUAUACAACAUUCCAAAAUACUGCACGAACCAAAGUUUCAUAGAAUUUAGAAGCAUUAUUUUGUGGUCCUUGAUUUUGUUUCUAAGAGAAAAUGGGGAAUUAUAUUGAAUAGUUCAUAUAGGAUUUUGGGAUUAUUGGAUUGUUGAGAUUAGAGUGGACAUGGGGAGAUUGUGGAAGACAACAUAAGAUUGGUGGGUCUAGAAGCUAUGGUGGAAUGUGUAUGAUACAGUUGUCUAAUGAUGUAGUGGGUCAUGUGAUUGUAUGAUGACCACAGAGUACAACCUUUGUUCUUAAGUUUUGGGAAUUCCAAUAAAUGUUAGUAUAUUGAUAUAACUUUCUCAUCAUAAUGACAUUCAUGUAUUUACCGUGGAGUCUUGUUGCUGUGUUUUGAUGAUGAAGCAUAUUUGUGGUGAUUUUGUCACUUUUUUUUUUGUUUUAUGUCAUCUUUUUUAUAGUUUGUGUCACUUUUUGGGCUCUAUGUCACUUUUUCGACUUUAUGUCACAUUUUUUAUAGUUUGUGUCAUUAGUUUAGCACUAUAUUCAAAGAAUCGUUGAUUGCUCAAGAUUUCUUAGCUACUUGUUCACAGUAAGACAGAUUAGCUAUUAAUGGUUUUUCUUUAUAUUCAAUAGAGGAUAUGUUACUAGAAUUAUAAAUGUAGUUAUAUUGAUGACUUUUGAAAGUAUAAAUAAAGUUUGGAUGGAAAAUACGGGUGUAUAUAGUUAGAUACAAUGACCCUAUAAAGUUUGUCAUACGUUUGUAUUGCUGUGAAAGAAUACAGGGGCUAGUUACAGUGGAGUCUCAUUGUUGUGUUUUGAUGAGGAAGCAUCUUUGUGAUGAUUUUGUCAUUUUUUUUGAUUUUUUGUCACCUUUUUUAUAGUUGUGUCACUUUUUGGAUUCUGUGUCAUAUUUUUUAUAAUUUGUGUCACUUUUUUUAUUUAUUGUCAUUUUUUUAGUAUAUGCACUCUAUUAGUUGAUGUGAACUACAAACAUGUUUUUUUGUUAUUGUUAGCAUGUUACAUGGUUAUAUAUUAGCACUAUAUUUCUGGUGAAAAUUCAAAGAAAAUAAUCAUAACCUAUUUGGUCUUUGUCGGUCACCUAAUCCAUGUUUUUAGGGAGAGAGUCCAGCUUAUAGUCCAUUAGCACUGCAUAUUUGUCACUGUUUUAUGUCACUUUUUUUUAAAGUUUUUGUCACUUUUUUUAUUCUCUUUCACUUUUUUUUUAACUCUGUGUCACUUUUUAUUUUUUAUUUUAUGUCACUUUUCCAAGUGUAUGCACUCUUUCAGUUACAAUCACGUUUUCAAUCAUUUGAGUGCAUUAAAUUAUUUUUUGUCCAGCUUAUAGUCCAUUGAUAGUGCACUAUAUGUCACUUUUUUUUUUUGGUCACUUUUCCAAGUGUAUGCACUUUUUUAGUUACAAACAUUUUUUCAAUCAUUUGAGUGCAUUAAAUUCUUUUUUGUCCAGCUUAUAGUCCAUUAGCAUUGCACUAUGUGUCACUUUUUUUUUUUUUUUUUUAGUUUGUCACUUUUUUUAUUUUAUGUCACUUUUCCAAGUGUAUGCACUCUUUCAGUUACAAACAUGUUUUCAAUCAUCUGAAUGCAUUAAAUUCUUUUUUGUCCAUUGGCAGUGCACUAUAUGUCACUUUUUUUUUUUAUUUAUAGUUUUUGUCACUUUUUUGACUAUGUGUCACUUUUUUUAACUUCAUGUUACUUUUCUAAGUGUAUGUACUCUUUUGUUUACAAACUUGUUUUCAAUCAUUAUAACAUGUUUGAAAUGUGUAUGUUAUAGACUUUCAUAAUGCAUGUGAUGAGUGAUUUACGCUCAUUAUAUUAUGCCAUUAAUUUCAUGAUUUUGCUAUUUUAAAGAGUAUUUUAGAAGUGCUAACAAGUGAUUUUGGUGUUGUUUUGUAGAUUGAUGGAAGUGGAGAAAACAAGAUCUAAAAGAGGCCAAAGGAAGAAAAUAGGCGAAAGUUAGCGAAAUUGGAUGACAUGACCAAAAUGUAAGAGAUCCAAAGUUCGAGGAUUAAAAUGCAAUUAAUCAAAAGUCGUGUUGAAACUCACGAUGAAGAUCCGAGAGCGCUAGGAGUCAAUUGGAUGAAGGAAGGUGUCAAAGGGAUCAAAUUUAGUCAAAAUAUGAUCACAAAUCAUUUUCCAACCGAAAAGUUACGCGCCGGAGUUUUGGUCUCACAUUGAGACCUAUUUCCGACAUAGCAAACGAUCGAAUUGGGAA
Molecule: long non-coding RNA, 5330 nt
Filed under: Olea europaea subsp. europaea
Lineage: Eukaryota; Viridiplantae; Streptophyta; Magnoliopsida; Lamiales; Oleaceae
Source: RNAcentral